UACGUAGGGUGCAAGCGUUAAUCGGAAUUACUGGGCGUAAAGCGUGCGCAGGCGGUUUGGUAAGACAGGUGUGAAAUCCCCGGGCUUAACCUGGGAAUUGCAUUUGUGACUGCCCGGCUAGAAUCUGGCAGAGGGGGGUAGAAUUCCACGUGUAGCAGUGAAAUGCGUAGAUAUGUGGAGGAACACCGAUGGCGAAGGCAGCCCCCUGGGUUAACACUGACGCUCAUGCACGAAAGCGUGGGGAGCAAACAGG
Molecule: ribosomal RNA, 253 nt
Filed under: uncultured bacterium
Lineage: Bacteria
Description: partial 16S ribosomal RNA
Rfam family: Bacterial small subunit ribosomal RNA
Source: RNAcentral